ACUGCUCAGUAACACGUAGUCAACCUAACUCGUGGACGUGGAUAACCUCGGGAAACUGAGAAUAAACCACGAUAGACCAUAGUGCCUGGAAUGGCUUAUGGUCCAAACAGUUUACUGCCAUGGGAUGGGACUGCGGCCUAUCAGCUUGUUGGUGAGGUAAUGGCCCACCAAGGCGAUUACAGGUACGGGCUCUGAGAGGAGAAGCCCGGAGAUGGGUACUGAGACACGGACCCAGGCCCUAUGGGGCGCAGCAGGCGAGAAACCUUAGCAAUGUGCGAAAGCACGACUGGGUCAGUCCGAGUGAUUCCUGAUAAAGGAGUCUUUUGCUUGUCCUAAAAGCACAGGUGAAUAAGGGGUGGGCAAGUCUGGUGUCAGCCGCCGCGGUAAUACCAGCACCUCGAGUGGUCAGGACGUUUAUUGGGCCUAAAGCAUCCGUAGCCGGCUUUGCAAGUCUUCGGUUAAAUCCACCUGCUCAACAGAUGGGCCGCUGGAGAUACUACAAAGCUAGGGAGUGGGAGAGGCAGACGGUAUUCAGUGGGUAGGGGUAAAAUCCUCUGAUCCAUUGGGGACCACCAGUGGCGAAGGCGGUCUGCCAGAACACGUUCGACGGUGAGGGAUGAAAGCUGGGGGAGCAAACCGGAUUAGAUACCCGGGUAGUCCCAGCUGUAAACGAUGCAAACUCGGUGAUGCAUUGGCUUAUGGCCAAUGCAGUGCCGCAGGGAAGCCGUUAAGUUUGCCGCCUGGGAAGUACGGACGCAAGUCUGAAACUUAAAGGAAUUGGCGGGGGAGCAC
RNAcentral lists this ribosomal RNA (792 nucleotides) under uncultured archaeon. RNAcentral describes it as "bacterial SSU rRNA". It matches the Rfam family "Archaeal small subunit ribosomal RNA", at positions 85 to 879 of the family's 1478-position model. The record is from RNAcentral.